GGGGUUGUGGCUCAGAGGUAGAGUACUUGCCUAGCAUGCAUGAGGCACUGGGUUCAAGCCUCAGCACCA
This 69-nucleotide transfer RNA is filed under the name Ictidomys tridecemlineatus (thirteen-lined ground squirrel). Its description in RNAcentral is "Spermophilus tridecemlineatus (thirteen-lined ground squirrel) tRNA". It matches the Rfam family "tRNA". From Rfam's summary of the family: Transfer RNA (tRNA) molecules are approximately 80 nucleotides in length. Their secondary structure includes four short double-helical elements and three loops (D, anti-codon, and T loops). Further hydrogen bonds mediate the characteristic L-shaped molecular structure. tRNAs have two regions of fundamental functional importance: the anti-codon, which is responsible for specific mRNA codon recognition, and the 3' end, to which the tRNAs corresponding amino acid is attached (by aminoacyl-tRNA synthetases). tRNAs cope with the degeneracy of the genetic code in two manners: having more than one tRNA (with a specific anti-codon) for a particular amino acid; and 'wobble' base-pairing, i.e. permitting non-standard base-pairing at the 3rd anti-codon position. Lineage: Eukaryota; Metazoa; Chordata; Mammalia; Rodentia; Sciuridae. The record is from Rfam by way of RNAcentral.